UAGGGAAUAUUGGACAAUGGGUGAGAGCCUGAUCCAGCCAUGCCGCGUGCAGGAAGAAGGCGUUAUGCGUUAUAAACUGCUUUUUGCCAGGGGAUAAAAAGACCGUGCGCGGUUAAUUGAAGGUACCUGGUGAAUAAGCCACGGCUAACUACGUGCCAGCAGCCGCGGUAAUACGUAGGUGGCAAGCGUUGUCCGGAUUUAUUGGGUUUAAAGGGUGCGUAGGUGGCCCUGUAAGUCAGUGGUGAAAUAUCUCAGCUUAACUGAGAGGGUGCCAUUGAUACUGCAGGGCUUGAGUACAGAUGAGGUAGGCGGAAUUGACGGUGUAGCGGUGAAAUGCAUAGAUAUCAUCAAGAACACCGAUAGCGAAGGCAGCUUACCAAGCUGUAACUGACACUGAGGCACGAAAGUGUGGGGAUCAAACAGGAUUAGAUACCCCGGUAGUCCCUGAGCGGGCUGGCAAGGCGCAU
This 467-nucleotide ribosomal RNA is filed under the name uncultured bacterium. RNAcentral's name for it is "bacterial SSU rRNA". It matches the Rfam family "Bacterial small subunit ribosomal RNA", at positions 355 to 825 of the family's 1533-position model. The record is from RNAcentral.